Molecule: non-coding RNA, 386 nt
Organism: Cricetulus griseus (Chinese hamster)
Lineage: Eukaryota; Metazoa; Chordata; Mammalia; Rodentia; Cricetidae
Source: RefSeq, a predicted model, not a curated record
GGAGGAGGAGGAGGUGGAGGAAGAGGAGGAGGAGGAAAGGACCACCCGGCACAUCCUCGUGGUAGCUGCCUCCACUCCUGUAGCCCUUGGCCCAGGGCUGAUGUCAUCUGCAGCAAAUCAUUUCGCCGGCGGCCCGGAAGCUGGAGGGACGAGGGAGAUCUGAGAGCUCCAUUGGAGGGUUGGGGUCGUCUAGUUGGGAUAAUGCUGCCCUUCCAUGAAUGAGGCGCUGGAUUCGAUGCCUGAGAUCCUCGCUCCUGGAGGAAGAAGUAAGAGACUCAGAAGGCCAAGGUCAUCUUUGACUAAGCAGCAAGUCUUCAGAGGCCAGCCUGAGCAAUAUGAGACCUUGUCUCUAGGUCAUUUAAUUAAUUAAAAGAUUGGCCAGAGUU